Molecule: ribosomal RNA, 426 nt
Filed under: uncultured bacterium
Lineage: Bacteria
Description: bacterial SSU rRNA
Rfam family: Bacterial small subunit ribosomal RNA
Source: RNAcentral
UCGAGGAUCUUCGUCAAUGGGCGCAAGCCUGAACGAGCGACACCGCGUGCGCGAUGAAGGCCUUCGGGUUGUAAAGCGCGAAAGUGGAGAGAAAGGGAAACUUGAUCAAUCCACAGUAAGGACGGGCUAAGUUCGUGCCAGCAGCCGCGGUAAGACGAACUGUCCUAACGUUGUUCGGAAUCACUGGGCUUAAAGGGCGCGUAGGCGGUCCGACAAGUCGGGGGUGAAAUCCUGCAGCUUAACUGCAGAAGUGCCUUCGAUACUGUCGGUCUUGAGGGAGAUAGGGGUGUGCGGAACUUCCAGUGGAGCGGUGAAAUGCGUUGAUAUUGGAAGGAACGCCGGAGGCGAAAGCGGCGCACUGGAUCUCUACUGACGCUGAGGCGCGAAAGCCAGGGGAGCAAACGGGAUUAGAUACCCGUGUAGUCC